This 342-nucleotide unclassified non-coding RNA is filed under the name soil metagenome. RNAcentral describes it as "partial contains 5.8S ribosomal RNA, internal transcribed spacer 2, and large subunit ribosomal RNA". The stretch from base 1 to 120 matches the Rfam family "5.8S ribosomal RNA", at positions 35 to 154 of the family's 154-position model. The record is from RNAcentral.
GAUGAAGAACGCAGCGAAAUGCGAUAAGUAAUGUGAAUUGCAGAAUCCAGUGAAUCAUCGAAUCUUUGAACGCACAUUGCGCCCGCCAGCAUUCUGGCGGGCAUGCCUGUUCGAGCGUCAUUUCAACCCUCGACCUCCCCUUGGGGAGGUCGGCGUUGGGGACCGGCAGCACACCGCCGGCCCUGAAAUGGAGUGGCGGCCCGUCUGCGGCGACCUCUGCGUAGUAAUACAGCUCGCACCGGAACCCCGACGCGGCCACGCCGUAAAACACCCAACUUCUGAACGUUGACCUCGAAUCAGGUAGGACUACCCGCUGAACUUAAGCAUAUCAAUAACGGAGGA